Molecule: long non-coding RNA, 1650 nt
Filed under: Numida meleagris (helmeted guineafowl)
Lineage: Eukaryota; Metazoa; Chordata; Aves; Galliformes; Numididae
Description: lncRNA (ENSNMEG00000008979.1)
Source: RNAcentral
GCAGCAGGUGGGCUAGUGAGAGUCACAGUCCUGCUGGGAUACAGCCAGCUGUUCCCAGGAAUGAAUCUCAAGUAAAUUAACAAACACCACACAAACCUGUCAAUUGAAUCAUUCUUGAUUACUGUAAAUGCUGGGCUACCCGUUGAGGAGCUUCUCCCUCCAUGCAGAGGGAGUUCUGUAUGUGCUGUGUGUGUAAGUGGGAUGGCGAUGCCCUGUCCUCCACGUGGAGGGUCCUUUGGUGCCCAGGGUUGUACCUGACUUGGUCCUAUGGGCUGAAGUGCUGAAGAGGUAUAAGGUGGUUCCCUCACCUCUCUGAAGGUUCUGUGGGCUGACAAAUGGCUCGCGAACGAUUUGGGGAUAACUCAAAGCAUCCAUCCUCCUGUAGCAAGAUAGAAAUGGUGCAAAUUGACUCUUUUUUCUUUUGGAGGCUUUUCCUUGUCAUCUGCAUGGCCAGCGAGUGGCUCAAAAUUCCACAGACCCUCUGGGAAUCCACACAUGCAGCAGCCAUUUCCCACUGGGCAGAAGGACACAGAGGACAACCUCCUGUCUGUGGAGGUGAGAGCUGGAAACACACUGUAUUGAAGCCAGGAGAGCUUCUGGUAACAGAGUGUGGCCCAUGCAGCCACUGGGUGAGCUGGGACAGCGAGUAGACCUGCAGAGAGCAGCACUGGGUGGCUCUGCAGGAUGCUGCUGCACGGGGCCUGACUGCUGACUGUCUUCAAACUAGAAAUAUCCUUAAAGCUGGUAACCUGCAUAGCCUUGGUGGCAUUUUGUUUGGUGUUCCUCUUCGUGCUUGCAGUUGGUGAUGGAUGGAGCCAGGAGGAGCAGCGCAGCAUCACCUUGAUCCUAUACAACAUCACCUCGAUCCCAUGCAGCAGAACCCAUUGGGAUGAAUCAGGCUCUUUCCCACAGAGGAAACACCCCUGAAACCAGAAAGCUUUGCCCAAGCCUCCUCCAUGGAGUUGCUGGAGGGAAGUCACAUGGUGCACCGCAGCGGGGGGACCCAUGGCAAAGGCUGUAACAUGUACAGAGCUCAUGGUGCCCGUCCCCAGCCGGUCCCAGCCCUGACCCUUUGCCAGGGUCUCUGUAGGGAGUGUCAGCACUGGCGCCGGUUUGUUCAGCUUCGGGCAGCCUGGGAAUACGCGCUUGACACAACCCUAAUUGACAAUUGAACCUCAAUUUGAUUCUGUGCAAGUCAGCAGACAGAGCACCUGGUUUCUGCUCGUGUGAGAUCGCAGUGUGCACCGCACCGCCCGCAGGGCCUGCAACCAGAGCAGCAGGAUCAGUCCUGGGGCGGAGGUUUGGUGCGUGGGAGAGGGAGCGUGGCCGUAACCUCAUCAGUGUAAAUCUCUGGCUGUGUGGAUAUUAGCAACGUGUUCCCCCAGCUGCGUCAGUGUAUGUGUUUGUGUAUACAGACUCAAUUUAUGUCAUUUUGUAAGCAGAGAAGCGUUUGCGCCAGACUCUGUGUGAUUUUUUGAGAGACGUGCUUACAUGUUUGGAUAGAUUUAAUAACAGCAUGUGUGUGCCUGGGUUUAUAUUUAGCCAGGCUGGCAGGGAGGGCUCGGUGGGCAGCAGCUCGGGGUGCCCUGGCCAGAAGCACUGAGCUCUGUGGGCAGCACGGGGCUGGCUCUGCCCCUACCCCCACCGGCU